RNAcentral lists this transfer RNA (74 nucleotides) under Chloroflexota bacterium. RNAcentral describes it as "Chloroflexi bacterium (sediment metagenome) tRNA-Gly". It matches the Rfam family "tRNA". Rfam says of the family: Transfer RNA (tRNA) molecules are approximately 80 nucleotides in length. The record is from RNAcentral. Lineage: Bacteria; Bacillati; Chloroflexota.
GCGGGAUUGAUGUAGUGGCAGCAUACGUGCUUCCCAAGCACGGCGCGGGGGUUCGAAUCCCCUAUCCCGCUCCC